AAAACGACCAACCAACGACCUCGCUUCGGCCAUCUUGGCAUCUUCAUCUUGGCGACCUUGCCUUGCCGUGGAUUGUUUUUAGUUGUUUGUAUUAUUUGUGCUUUUUAAGAAUAUUUUUUUAAUUCGGAUACUUUUAUAAUAGCUUUAAUAGUAUUAUUAACAUAGUGCAUAAAAUGGUGUCCUGUUUUUAACGCAGUUGGAGUAGCAGAAACAAAUGUAGAUAAAAAAAUCUGCAGGAAUAACGUUUCAAUUAUGACAGAAGCUCCAAACAAAUGACUGAAUGAAAAGCCCUAUUAAAAGCUUUCCAGAAGAUCCUGCGAAGAAGACAUGAAGUAUAGAUCAGAUUUGUUAAUAGAGGAGUAUGUUCAAAACACUUUUUAGAAAAAGAUAUUGACAGAACUUCACUUUCAUCUGUUCGUUUGAGAGACUGUGCUGUUCCAAUAGCUUAUGUCACACAGAAUCAGCUGAGAGAAGUGGUCUACAAAAAACCAGAAAGGAAACGGAAUAUGUGGCUACGAAAAGCAAAAGAAAGGUUUACAAAGCAAAUGUGACACAUUUUUUUAUAAUAUUUAGGAAUGUCAGCAAAUUACAUUAAAAAAUGUAUGUAAAGAUUUUUUGCAAUAAAAAUGUUUAUAUUUA
Molecule: long non-coding RNA, 639 nt
Organism: Diabrotica virgifera virgifera (western corn rootworm)
Lineage: Eukaryota; Metazoa; Arthropoda; Insecta; Coleoptera; Chrysomelidae
Exons: 3
Source: RefSeq, a predicted model, not a curated record